This is a long non-coding RNA of Xiphophorus couchianus (Monterrey platyfish), 97 nucleotides long. RefSeq lists it as uncharacterized. The transcript is spliced from 3 exons. The record is from RefSeq and is a predicted model, not a curated record. NCBI's taxonomy places the organism in Eukaryota, Metazoa, Chordata, Actinopteri, Cyprinodontiformes, Poeciliidae.
CUGUAGUUGUGGUUGGAGCUUCUAUUGUUGUGGUUGGAGCAGCAGUGGUUGCGGUUGGAGCCCGGCUGUGGUUGUGGUUGGAGCUGCUGUUGUUGUG